CGGCUCGGUGGUGCCGGCACCCUGGCCGCGCCCGACCUGCGGGGUCGGGGUGGCAGCGCGGGGCUGCCCGGGCCGU
Molecule: transfer RNA, 76 nt
Filed under: Phytohabitans houttuyneae
Lineage: Bacteria; Bacillati; Actinomycetota; Actinomycetes; Micromonosporales; Micromonosporaceae
Description: tRNA-Arg
Source: RNAcentral